UACCAGCAGUUCAAGUGCAGCCGGUUUUAUUGGGUCUAAAACAUCCGUAGCUUGUUUCGUAAGUCUCUUGUGAAAUCUGACAUCUCAAGUGUUGGGCGUGCAAGAGAUACUGCGAGGCUAGAGACCGGGAGACGUAAGAAGUACGCUUAGGGUAGCGGUCAAAUGCGUUGAUCCUUAGUGGACUAACGAUAGCGAAGGCAUCUUACGAGAACGGAUCUGACAGUGAGGGAUGAAGGCUAGGGGCGCAAAACGGAUUAGAUACCCGCGUA
Molecule: ribosomal RNA, 269 nt
Filed under: uncultured prokaryote
Description: partial 16S ribosomal RNA
Rfam family: Archaeal small subunit ribosomal RNA
Source: RNAcentral